This 1355-nucleotide ribosomal RNA is filed under the name uncultured bacterium. Its description in RNAcentral is "bacterial SSU rRNA". It matches the Rfam family "Bacterial small subunit ribosomal RNA", at positions 18 to 1395 of the family's 1533-position model. The record is from RNAcentral.
CCUGGCUCAGGACGAACGCUGGCGGCGCGCCUAACACAUGCAAGUCGAACGAGCGAGAGAGAGCUUGCUUUCUCGAGCGAGUGGCGAACGGGUGAGUAACGCGUGAGGAACCUGCCUCAAAGAGGGGGACAACAGUUGGAAACGACUGCUAAUACCGCAUAAGCCCACAGCUCGGCAUCGAGCAGAGGGAAAAGGAGCAAUCCGCUUUGAGAUGGCCUCGCGUCCGAUUAGCUAGUUGGUGAGGUAAUGGCCCACCAAGGCGACGAUCGGUAGCCGGACUGAGAGGUUGAACGGCCACAUUGGGACUGAGACACGGCCCAGACUCCUACGGGAGGCAGCAGUGGGGAAUAUUGCACAAUGGGGGAAACCCUGAUGCAGCGACGCCGCGUGGAGGAAGAAGGUCUUCGGAUUGUAAACUCCUGUUGUUGAGGAAGAUAAUGACGGUACUCAACAAGGAAGUGACGGCUAACUACGUGCCAGCAGCCGCGGUAAAACGUAGGUCACAAGCGUUGUCCGGAAUUACUGGGUGUAAAGGGAGCGCAGGCGGGAAGACAAGUUGGAAGUGAAAUCCAUGGGCUCAACCCAUGAACUGCUUUCAAAACUGUUUUUCUUGAGUAGUGCAGAGGUAGGCGGAAUUCCCGGUGUAGCGGUGGAAUGCGUAGAUAUCGGGAGGAACACCAGUGGCGAAGGCGGCCUACUGGGCACCAACUGACGCUGAGGCUCGAAAGUGUGGGUAGCAAACAGGAUUAGAUACCCUGGUAGUCCACACUGUAAACGAUGAUUACUAGGUGUUGGAGGAUUGACCCCUUCAGUGCCGCAGUUAACACAAUAAGUAAUCCACCUGGGGAGUACGACCGCAAGGUUGAAACUCAAAGGAAUUGACGGGGGCCCGCACAAGCAGUGGAGUAUGUGGUUUAAUUCGACGCAACGCGAAGAACCUUACCAAGUCUUGACAUCCCUUGACGAUGCUGGAAACAGUAUUUCUCUUCGGAGCAAGGAGACAGGUGGUGCAUGGUUGUCGUCAGCUCGUGUCGUGAGAUGUUGGGUUAAGUCCCGCAACGAGCGCAACCCUUAUGGUCAGUUACUACGCAAGAGGACUCUGGCCAGACUGCCGUUGACAAAACGGAGGAAGGUGGGGAUGACGUCAAAUCAUCAUGCCCUUUAUGACUUGGGCUACACACGUACUACAAUGGCGUUAAACAAAGAGAAGCAAGACCGCGAGGUGGAGCAAAGCUCAGAAACAAGUCCCAGUUCGGACUGCAGGCUGCAACUCGCCUGCACGAAGUCGGAAUUGCUAGUAAUCGCAGAUCAGCAUGCUGCGGUGAAUACGUUCCCGGGCCUUGUACACACCGCCC